GGGUACGGCCAUACUGCGGAGAAAGCACCGCUUCCCGUCCGAUCAGCGAAGUUAAGCUCCGCCAGGCGAUGUUAGUACUGGGGUGGGUGACCACCCGGGAAUCCAUCGUGCUGUAUCCUCCC
This 122-nucleotide ribosomal RNA is filed under the name Balamuthia mandrillaris. Lineage: Eukaryota; Discosea; Longamoebia; Balamuthiidae. The record is from RNAcentral.